AUGGCGGCGGCAUCAGAUGCAUUUUCUUCAAUGAACCUCGGGUCCCAAGGGAGAGAUGACGAUCUCGGUGACUUCUUCGAUAAGUUGGACCUCCAUGAGGAGGAGUUUGAUGAUGUUGUAGUUGAAGAGGAAGCUCCAGAGCUGCUGGAGGAGAUUCGAUGGGUAGCCCUAGCUAGGGUUCAGACCAUGAAAAAUUUCAACCAAUCGGCCUUCUACAAAGACAUGCGGGCGGCGUGGAAUUGUUCACAGGUGGUUCGUUUCUGGCCAAUUGGCCCUAAUAUGUUUGUGGUUCAAGUUUAUUGUCUUGGUGAUUGGGAUUGCAUCAUGGGACAAGUACCGUGGCUGUUCUGCAACAUGGCGGUUCUGUUAGUGCCAUAUGAUGGGUUCACAAACUCUGAAGAGGUGCCAAUAGAGUACAUGCCUAUCUGGCUC
This 432-nucleotide ribosomal RNA is filed under the name Triticum aestivum (bread wheat). RNAcentral's name for it is "partial small subunit ribosomal RNA". The record is from RNAcentral. Lineage: Eukaryota; Viridiplantae; Streptophyta; Magnoliopsida; Poales; Poaceae.